UACGGGGGGGGCAAGCGUUGUUCGGAAUUACUGGGCGUAAAGGGCUCGUAGGCGGCCAACUAAGUCGGACGUGAAAUCCCCAGGCUCAACCUGGGAACUGCGUCCGAUACUGGAUGGCUUGAAUCCGGGAGAGGGAUGCAGAAUUCCAGGUGUAGCGGUGAAAUGUGUAGAGAUCAGGAGGAACACCGGUGGCGCAGGCGGCCCGCUGGACGGAGACUGACGCUGAGGCGCGAAAGCGUGGGGAGCAAACGGG
RNAcentral lists this ribosomal RNA (253 nucleotides) under uncultured bacterium. RNAcentral describes it as "partial 16S ribosomal RNA". It matches the Rfam family "Bacterial small subunit ribosomal RNA", at positions 524 to 776 of the family's 1533-position model. The record is from RNAcentral.